GCGAACGACGGGAAUUGAACCCGCGCAUGGUGGAUUCACAAUCCACUGCCUUGAUCCACUUGGCUACAUCCGCCCCUCUACUAUUAUCUAGUAUUACUAUAUUUUUCCAUUAACAUAAAAAAGCAUAUUCUUUCUCAUUUUUAUUGAAUAAAUAAAAGUAAUAAAUAAGCAAAAUUUUCAUUUUUAUCUAGAAUUUAAAUUGUUAAAAAAAAAAACUUCAUAAAAGAUUAGGAAAAGUAAAAGUAUAUGAUAUAGAAACCUAUAAUAUAAAUGAAUACAAAUAAAAACAAACAAAUCGAACCAAAUUAUAAAAAGUACUUGUUAUUUUUAAAGUUUAAAGAAACUAUGUAAGGCAAAUAGUACUA
This 365-nucleotide transfer RNA is filed under the name Helianthus annuus (common sunflower). Lineage: Eukaryota; Viridiplantae; Streptophyta; Magnoliopsida; Asterales; Asteraceae. The record is from RNAcentral.